CAGCUAAAAACGUGAAACAAUAAAUUAUUAAAGUGCACUGUUUCGUGAGAAUGGAAAAACACCAGCUAACUCAAAGUUAAGAACUGUACAGCUGGGUAAACUCAGAUUAAGCUGAAUUUGGAAAUGGUUCCCUUGGUAACAAAAAUGGACAGCGAUCUCGGAAGAAAUCAGCCAGGAGUAACUCUUUAAAUGUCCUAGUCCAUUUCAGUGAAAUAAAGCAGGUUAAACUUGUUGGC
Molecule: long non-coding RNA, 236 nt
Filed under: Bos taurus (domestic cattle)
Lineage: Eukaryota; Metazoa; Chordata; Mammalia; Artiodactyla; Bovidae
Description: long non-coding RNA NONBTAT011737
Source: RNAcentral